GAUAGAAGCUCUGUAUCAUCCAUAGCAUGAAGAUCUAAAAGGCCAGCUCCAAAAUCACCCCUAAAGUCAGGAGAAUAAAAACCAUCUGAUACAGCCAUACCAGCUGAAGUUUGGGCAGUUGGUGUAUAAGACUCAGAACCUGAUUCUCCAUUGAAGUUGAGGUUUCUCAUUAGCUUGAAAAGCCUCUGCUUUUCUUCAGCAGAUUGUGCUCCGUAACCCUGCAUUAGGAGAUUAGGAAGGAGACGGUGAUCGAUGCCCGUCGUAGCCAAGGGAGAGGCCAGAUGCUGCAAGCCC
RNAcentral lists this unclassified non-coding RNA (294 nucleotides) under Hevea brasiliensis (rubber tree). The record is from RNAcentral. Lineage: Eukaryota; Viridiplantae; Streptophyta; Magnoliopsida; Malpighiales; Euphorbiaceae.